Molecule: unclassified non-coding RNA, 390 nt
Filed under: soil metagenome
Description: partial contains 5.8S ribosomal RNA, internal transcribed spacer 2, and large subunit ribosomal RNA
Rfam family: 5.8S ribosomal RNA (bases 1-122)
Source: RNAcentral
GAUGAAGAACGUAGCGAAAUGCGAUACUUGGUGUGAAUUGCAGAAUCCCGUGAACCAUCGAGUCUUUGAACGCAAGUUGCGCCCGAAGCCACUAGGCCGAGGGCACGCCUGCCUGGGCGUCACACGUCGUUGCCCCCCCAUCUAAUCCUUCGGGAUUGCGGGGGGCGGAUGAUGGCCUCCCGUGCGCCUCGUCGCGCGGUUGGCAUAAAUGCCAAGUCCUCGGCGACGCACGCCACGACAAUCGGUGGUUGCGAAACCUCGGUUGCCCGUCGUGUGCGGUCGUCGCGCAUCGAGGGCUCGAAAAAAUGCUCGGCUCCGGCUGGGCUUUCAACGCGACCCCAGGUCAGGCGGGGUUACCCGCUGAAUUUAAGCAUAUCAAUAAGCGGAGGA